GACGGGGGCCCCGGCACAAGCGGUGGAGCAUGUGGUUUAAUUCGACGCAACGCGAAGAACCUUUACCAGGGCUUGACAUCCCUUGAAGCAGCUAGAGAUAGCUGUGUCCUUCGGGACAAGGAGACAGGUGGUGCAUGGUUGUCGUCAGCUCGUGUCGUGAGAUGUUGGGUUAAGUCCCGCAACGAGCGCAACCCCUAUGGUUAGUUGCCAGCAAGUAGCGUUGGGCACUCUAGCCAGACUGCCGGUGAUAAAUCGGAGGAAGGUGGGGACGACGUCAAAUCAUCAUGCCCUUUAUGUCCUGGGCUACACACGUACUACAAUGGCCGUUACAACGGGAAGCGAAGGAGCAAUCCGGAGCAAAUCCCUUAAAGGCGGUCCCAGUUCAGAUUGUGGGCUGAAACUCGCCCGCAUGAAGGCGGAAUUGCUAGUAAUUGCAGAUCAGCAUGCUGCAGUGAAUACGUUCCCGGGCCUU
RNAcentral lists this ribosomal RNA (472 nucleotides) under uncultured bacterium. RNAcentral describes it as "bacterial SSU rRNA". It matches the Rfam family "Bacterial small subunit ribosomal RNA", at positions 912 to 1382 of the family's 1533-position model. The record is from RNAcentral.